GACGAACGCUGGCGGCGUGCUUAACACAUGCAAGUCGAACGGAAAGGCCCCUUUGGGGGUACUCGAGUGGCGAACGGGUGAGUAACACGUGAGUAACCUGCCCUUGACUUCGGGAUAACUUCAGGAAACUGGGGCUAAUACCGGAUAGGAAUCCUUGCUGCAUGGUGGGGGUUGGAAAGCUUCGGGGGUUUUGGAUGGACUCGCGGCUUAUCAGCUUGUUGGUGGGGUAGUGGCUUACCAAGGCUUUGACGGGUAGCCGGACUGAGAGGGCGACCGGCCACAUUGGGACUGAGAGGAGGCCCAGACUCCUACGGGAGGAAGCAGGGGGGAAUAUUGCACCAUGGGCGGAAGCCUGAUGCAGCAACGCCGCGUGCGGGAUGACGGCCUUCGGGUUGUAAACCGCUUUCAGCAGGGGCGAAGCUUGUGGUGACGGUACCUGCAGAAGAAGCACCGGCUAACUACGUG
Molecule: ribosomal RNA, 465 nt
Filed under: uncultured bacterium
Lineage: Bacteria
Description: partial 16S ribosomal RNA
Rfam family: Bacterial small subunit ribosomal RNA
Source: RNAcentral